RNAcentral lists this ribosomal RNA (752 nucleotides) under Shigella flexneri. Its description in RNAcentral is "bacterial SSU rRNA". It matches the Rfam family "Bacterial small subunit ribosomal RNA", at positions 793 to 1533 of the family's 1533-position model. The record is from RNAcentral. Lineage: Bacteria; Pseudomonadati; Pseudomonadota; Gammaproteobacteria; Enterobacterales; Enterobacteriaceae.
GUCCACGCCGUAAACGAUGUCGACUUGGAGGUUGUGCCCUUGAGGUGUGGCUUCCGGAGCUAACGCGUUAAGUCGACCGCCUGGGGAGUACGGCCGCAAGGUUAAAACUCAAAUGAAUUGACGGGGGCCCGCACAAGCGGUGGAGCAUGUGGUUUAAUUCGAUGCAACGCGAAGAACCUUACCUGGUCUUGACAUCCACGGAAGUUUUCAGAGAUGAGAAUGUGCCUUCGGGAACCGUGAGACAGGUGCUGCAUGGCUGUCGUCAGCUCGUGUUGUGAAAUGUUGGGUUAAGUCCCGCAACGAGCGCAACCCUUAUCCUUUGUUGCCAGCGGUCCGGCCGGGAACUCAAAGGAGACUGCCAGUGAUAAACUGGAGGAAGGUGGGGAUGACGUCAAGUCAUCAUGGCCCUUACGACCAGGGCUACACACGUGCUACAAUGGCGCAUACAAAGAGAAGCGACCUCGCGAGAGCAAGCGGACCUCAUAAAGUGCGUCGUAGUCCGGAUUGGAGUCUGCAACUCGACUCCAUGAAGUCGGAAUCGCUAGUAAUCGUGGAUCAGAAUGCCACGGUGAAUACGUUCCCGGGCCUUGUACACACCGCCCGUCACACCAUGGGAGUGGGUUGCAAAAGAAGUAGGUAGCUUAACCUUCGGGAGGGCGCUUACCACUUUGUGAUUCAUGACUGGGGUGAAGUCGUAACAAGGUAACCGUAGGGGAACCUGCGGUUGGAUCACCUCCUUACCUUAAAGAAGC